GCGGGCACCAGCAAGGCCGCCAUCCGCCGCCGCUGGCCCCGGCGGCAGCGGCUGGUGAUCGACGCGCUCGCCUCGAUCCUCGUCGUGCCGCCCGCCCC
Molecule: transfer RNA, 98 nt
Filed under: Streptomyces sp. F-1
Lineage: Bacteria; Bacillati; Actinomycetota; Actinomycetes; Kitasatosporales; Streptomycetaceae
Description: tRNA-Ala
Source: RNAcentral